CCUUGAUGGCGACCGGCGCACGGGUGAGCAACACGUAUCCAACCUGCCGAUAACUCGGGGAUAGCCUUUCGAAAGAAAGAUUAAUACCCGAUGGCAUAAUAGAACCGCAUGGUUUGAUUAUUAAAGAAUUUCGGUUAUCGAUGGGGAUGCGUUCCAUUAGGCAGUUGGUGGGGUAACGGCCCACCAAACCUUCGAUGGAUAGGGGUUCUGAGAGGAAGGUCCCCCACAUUGGAACUGAGACACGGUCCGA
This 250-nucleotide ribosomal RNA is filed under the name uncultured bacterium. Its description in RNAcentral is "partial 16S ribosomal RNA". It matches the Rfam family "Bacterial small subunit ribosomal RNA", at positions 83 to 334 of the family's 1533-position model. The record is from RNAcentral.